UACGGAGGGCGCAAGCGUUGUUCGGAAUUACUGGGCGUAAAGCGCGUGUAGGUGGCUGAGUAAGUCGAAUGUGAAAGCCCCGGGCUCAACUCGGGAAUUGCAUCCGAAACUACUUGGCUAGAGUCCCGGAGAGGAAGGCAGAAUUCCCAAUGUAGGGGUGAAAUCCGUAGAUAUUGGGAGGAAUACCGGUGGCGAAGGCGGCCUUCUGGACGGUGACUGACACUCAGACGCGAAAGCGUGGGGAGCAAAC
Molecule: ribosomal RNA, 250 nt
Filed under: uncultured bacterium
Lineage: Bacteria
Description: partial 16S ribosomal RNA
Rfam family: Bacterial small subunit ribosomal RNA
Source: RNAcentral